UAGAAGAGAGAUAUCUGUUCUUGCCAUAUC
This 30-nucleotide non-coding RNA is filed under the name Homo sapiens (human). Lineage: Eukaryota; Metazoa; Chordata; Mammalia; Primates; Hominidae. The record is from RNAcentral.